This 790-nucleotide ribosomal RNA is filed under the name uncultured bacterium. Its description in RNAcentral is "bacterial SSU rRNA". It matches the Rfam family "Bacterial small subunit ribosomal RNA", at positions 8 to 796 of the family's 1533-position model. The record is from RNAcentral.
AGAGUUUGAUCCUGGCUCAGGAUGAACGCUAGCGGCAGGCUUAAUACAUGCAAGUCGAGGGGCAGCGCGGUAGCAAUACUGGCGGCGACCGGCGCACGGGUGCGUAACACGUAUACAAUCUGCCUUUAACAGGGGGAUAGCCCGGAGAAAUCCGGAUUAAUACCCCAUAACACUAAGAGUAGCAUUACUUUUGGUUAAAAGCUCCGGCGGUUAGAGAUGAGUAUGCGUCUGAUUAGCUAGUUGGUGAGGUAACGGCUCACCAAGGCGACGAUCAGUAGGGGAUCUGAGAGGAUUAACCCCCACACGGAUACUGAGACACGGAUCCGACUCCUACGGGAGGCAGCAGUAAGGAAUAUUGGACAAUGCCCGCAAGGGUGAUCCAGCCAUGCCGCGUGCAGGAAGACGGCCCUAUGGGUUGUAAACUGCUUUUACACCGGAGAAAACCUCCCCUCGUGAGGGGAGCUGAUAGUAUGGUGAGAAUAAGCAUCGGCUAACUUCGUGCCAGCAGCCGCGGUAAGACGAAGGAUGCAAGCGUUAUCCGGAUUCAUUGGGUUUAAAGGGAGCGUAGGUGGCCUUAUAAGUCAGUGGUGAAAUCUCUGGGCUUAACCCAGAAAUUGCCAUUGAUACUGUAGGGCUUGAGUAUAGUUGCCGUUGGCGGAAUAUGACAUGUAGUGGUGAAAUACAUAGAGAUGUCAUAGAACACCGAUUGCGAAGGCAGCUGACGAAACUAUAACUGACACUGAGGCUCGAAAGUGUGGGGAUCAAACAGGAUUAGAUACCCUGGUAGUCC